AAAUCGUAACAAGGUUUCUGUAGGUGAACCUGCAGAAGGAUCAUUAGUGAAGAUUUGGGCAGGCCAUACGGACGCCAAAAAGUGUCCCUGGCCGCCUACACCCACUAUACAUCCACAAACCCGUGUGCACUGUCUUGGAGAAAGGCUUCAGAGAAGUUUUUUGUGGCCUCUCUUGGGGUCUUUCUUCGCUACAAACUCGAAUGGUUAGUAUGAACGUGGAACUUGGUUGGACCGUCACUGGCCAACAAACUAUACACAACUUUCGACAACGGAUCUCUUGGUUCUCCCAUCGAUGAAGAACGCAGCGAAACGCGAUAGGUAAUGUGAAUUGCAGAAUUCCGUGAAUCAUCGAAUCUUUGAACGCACCUUGCGCUCUAUGGCAAUCCGUAGAGCAUGCCUGUUUGAGUGCCAUGAAAUCUCCCACCCCAAGCGGUUUUUAAAUGAAACGGCUUGGCGGAUGGGGUCUGGAUGGGUGCCUCUGCCUGCGCUACCUAGCACAGGCUCGCCCGAAAUGCAUGAGCGCCUUGAGACACUUUGCAUCCGCCUCUCUGUUUGGGAGGAGGCGGCCAAGCAGUGUUUUUUCUCCUGGCAUGGCAUGAUACGUCAUUUGCUAUGUCGCCUAAAGGAGGAAUGUUUGGUUGUGUCUGCGUGUGCUUCGAACUUGCCUCUGUGGCACAUCCCAAUUUCACUUCUGGUCUCAAAUCAGGUAGGAUCACCCGCUGAACUUAAGCAUA
RNAcentral lists this ribosomal RNA (734 nucleotides) under Malassezia restricta. Its description in RNAcentral is "eukaryotic LSU rRNA". The stretch from base 258 to 411 matches the Rfam family "5.8S ribosomal RNA". The record is from RNAcentral. Lineage: Eukaryota; Fungi; Basidiomycota; Malasseziomycetes; Malasseziales; Malasseziaceae.